Molecule: transfer RNA, 67 nt
Filed under: Euaesthetus ruficapillus
Lineage: Eukaryota; Metazoa; Arthropoda; Insecta; Coleoptera; Staphylinidae
Description: tRNA-Ala
Rfam family: tRNA
About the family: Transfer RNA (tRNA) molecules are approximately 80 nucleotides in length. Their secondary structure includes four short double-helical elements and three loops (D, anti-codon, and T loops).
Source: RNAcentral
AGGAUAAUAGUUAAAUAUAACAUUUAAUUUGCAAUUAAAAAGUAUUGAAUAUCAUCAAUUUAUCUAA